RNAcentral lists this microRNA precursor (116 nucleotides) under Hordeum vulgare. RNAcentral describes it as "microRNA MIR1122". It matches the Rfam family "MIR1120/MIR1122 microRNA precursor family". Lineage: Eukaryota; Viridiplantae; Streptophyta; Magnoliopsida; Poales; Poaceae. The record is from RNAcentral.
GAAGUACUCCCUCCGUCCCAAAAUAAGUGACUCAAAAGGGACUCAAGUAUGUAUUAAAGUUAGUAGAAACUUGAGUCAUUUUUGAGUCACUUAUUUUGGGACGGAGGAAGUAUGUG